Molecule: ribosomal RNA, 496 nt
Filed under: uncultured bacterium
Lineage: Bacteria
Description: partial 16S ribosomal RNA
Rfam family: Bacterial small subunit ribosomal RNA
Source: RNAcentral
GAUGAACGCUGGCGGCGUGCCUAAUACAUGCAAGUCAAGCGAACAGACGAGGAGCUUGCUCCUCUGACGUUAGCGGCGGACGGGUGAGUAACACGUGGAUAACCUACCUAUAAGACUGGGAUAACUUCGGGAAACCGGAGCUAAUACCGGAUAAUAUAUUGAACCGCAUGGUUCAAUAGUGAAAGACGGUUUUGCUGUCACUUAUAGAUGGAUCCGCGCCGCAUUAGCUAGUUGGUAAGGUAACGGCUUACCAAGGCAACGAUGCGUAGCCGACCUGAGAGGGUGAUCGGCCACACUGGAACUGAGACACGGUCCAGACUCCUACGGGAGGCAGCAGUAGGGAAUCUUCCGCAAUGGGCGAAAGCCUGACGGAGAAACGCCGGGGGGGUGAUGAAGGUCUUCGGAUCGUAAAACUCUGUUAUUAGGGAAAAACAAAUGGUUAAGUAACUAUGCACGUCUUGACGGUACCUAAUCAGAAAGCCACGGCUAACUACGU